This 2918-nucleotide ribosomal RNA is filed under the name Aeromonas veronii. Its description in RNAcentral is "bacterial LSU rRNA". It matches the Rfam family "Bacterial large subunit ribosomal RNA". The record is from RNAcentral. Lineage: Bacteria; Pseudomonadati; Pseudomonadota; Gammaproteobacteria; Aeromonadales; Aeromonadaceae.
GUUGUAUGGUUAAGUGACUAAGCGUACAUGGUGGAUGCCUUGGCAGUCAGAGGCGAUGAAGGACGUACUAACCUGCGAUAAGCUGUGAGAAGUCGGUAAGAGACGCUAUUACUCACAGAUUUCCGAAUGGGGAAACCCACCCGAGAUAACUCGGGUAUCUGUUACUGAAUACAUAGGUAACAGAGGCGAACCGGGAGAACUGAAACAUCUAAGUACCCCGAGGAAAAGAAAUCAACCGAGAUUCCCUCAGUAGCGGCGAGCGAACGGGGAUUAGCCCUUAAGCAUCUUGGAAGUUAGUGGAACGGUCCUGGAAAGGCCGGCGAUACAGGGUGAUAGCCCCGUACACGAAAACAACCUUGAUGUGAAAUCGAGUAGGGCGGGACACGUGACAUCCUGUCUGAAUAUGGGGGGACCAUCCUCCAAGGCUAAAUACUCCUGACUGACCGAUAGUGAACCAGUACCGUGAGGGAAAGGCGAAAAGAACCCCUGUGAGGGGAGUGAAAUAGAACCUGAAACCGUGUACGUACAAGCAGUGGGAGCCCUUCGGGGUGACUGCGUACCUUUUGUAUAAUGGGUCAGCGACUUACAUUUUGUAGCGAGGUUAACCGUAUAGGGGAGCCGUAGGGAAACCGAGUCUUAACUGGGCGUCUAGUUGCAAGGUGUAGACCCGAAACCGGGUGAUCUAGCCAUGGGCAGGUUGAAGGUUGAGUAACAUCAACUGGAGGACCGAACCCACUAACGUUGCAAAGUUAGGGGAUGACCUGUGGCUGGGGGUGAAAGGCCAAUCAAACUCGGAGAUAGCUGGUUCUCCCCGAAAGCUAUUUAGGUAGCGCCUCGGACGAAUACUACUGGGGGUAGAGCACUGUUUGGGCUAGGGGGUCAUCCCGACUUACCAACCCCAUGCAAACUCCGAAUACCAGUAAGUAAUAUCCGGGAGACACACGGCGGGUGCUAACGUCCGUCGUGAAGAGGGAAACAACCCAGACCGCCGGCUAAGGUCCCAAAGUUCUGGUUAAGUGGGAAACGAUGUGGGAAGGCUCAGACAGCUAGGAUGUUGGCUUAGAAGCAGCCAUCAUUUAAAGAAAGCGUAAUAGCUCACUAGUCGAGUCGGCCUGCGCGGAAGAUGUAACGGGGCUCAAACCAGGCACCGAAGCCGCGGAUUCACACUUAUGUGUGAGUGGUAGGGGAGCGUUCUGUAAGUCUGCGAAGGUGUAUCGAGAGGUAUGCUGGAGAUAUCAGAAGUGCGAAUGCUGACGUAAGUAACGAUAAAGGGGGUGAAAAGCCUCCUCGCCGGAAGACCAAGGGUUCCUGUCCAACGUUAAUCGGGGCAGGGUGAGUCGACCCCUAAGGCGAGGCCGAAAGGCGUAGUCGAUGGGAAGCAGGUUAAUAUUCCUGCACGACUUGUAAUUGCGAUGGGGGGACGGAGAAGGCUAGGUGGGCCAGGCGACGGUUGUCCUGGUGAAAGUGCGUAGGUGGUGUUUCUAGGCAAAUCCGGAGACACAACACUGAGACACGAGACGAACACACUACGGUGUGGAAGCCAUUGAUGCCCUGCUUCCAGGAAAAGCCUCUAAGCUUCAGAUUACAAGUCAUCGUACCCCAAACCGACACAGGUGGUCGGGUAGAGAAUACCAAGGCGCUUGAGAGAACUCGGGUGAAGGAACUAGGCAAAAUAGAACCGUAACUUCGGGAGAAGGUUCGCUCUUGACAGUGAAGUCCCUUGCGGAUGGAGCAGUUGGGAGUCGCAGUGACCAGAUGGCUGGGACUGUUUAUCAAAAACACAGCACUCUGCAAACACGAAAGUGGACGUAUAGGGUGUGACACCUGCCCGGUGCCGGAAGGUUAAUUGAUGGGGUUAGCGCAAGCGAAGCUCUUGAUCGAAGCCCCGGUAAACGGCGGCCGUAACUAUAACGGUCCUAAGGUAGCGAAAUUCCUUGUCGGGUAAGUUCCGACCUGCACGAAUGGUGUAACCAUGGCCAUGCUGUCUCCACCCGAGACUCAGUGAAAUCGAAUUCGCCGUGAAGAUGCGGUGUACCCGCGGCUAGACGGAAAGACCCCGUGAACCUUUACUACAGCUUGGCACUGAACAUUGAACCUACAUGUGUAGGAUAGGUGGGAGGCUUUGAAGGCGUGACGCCAGUUGCGCUGGAGCCGUCCUUGAAAUACCACCCUUGUAUGUUUGAUGUUCUAACGCAGGGCCCUGAAUCGGGCUCGCGGACAGUGCCUGGUGGGUAGUUUGACUGGGGCGGUCUCCUCCCAAAGAGUAACGGAGGAGCACGAAGGUUGGCUAAUCCUGGUCGGACAUCAGGAGGUUAGUGCAAUGGCAUAAGCCAGCUUAACUGCGAGACGGACAGGUCGAGCAGGUACGAAAGUAGGUCAUAGUGAUCCGGUGGUUCUGAAUGGAAGGGCCAUCGCUCAACGGAUAAAAGGUACUCCGGGGAUAACAGGCUGAUACCGCCCAAGAGUUCAUAUCGACGGCGGUGUUUGGCACCUCGAUGUCGGCUCAUCACAUCCUGGGGCUGAAGUCGGUCCCAAGGGUAUGGCUGUUCGCCAUUUAAAGUGGUACGCGAGCUGGGUUCAGAACGUCGUGAGACAGUUCGGUCCCUAUCUGCCGUGGGCGUUGGAUGAUUGAAGGGAGUUGCUCCUAGUACGAGAGGACCGGAGUGAACGAACCUCUGGUGUUCGGGUUGUCACGCCAGUGGCACUGCCCGGUAGCUAAGUUCGGAAUCGAUAACCGCUGAAAGCAUCUAAGCGGGAAGCGAGCCCUGAGAUGAGUCAUCCCUGACCCCUUGAGGGUCCUAAAGGGCCGUUGGAGACCACAACGUUGAUAGGUGGGGUGUGUAAGUGCAGCGAUGCAUUGAGCUAACCCGUACUAAUUACCCGUGAGGCUUAACCAUACAACACCCAAGAAGUGUUCU